This 626-nucleotide long non-coding RNA is filed under the name Medicago truncatula (barrel medic). RNAcentral describes it as "lncRNA gene24995". Lineage: Eukaryota; Viridiplantae; Streptophyta; Magnoliopsida; Fabales; Fabaceae. The record is from RNAcentral.
CAAAAAGAGAACAAAAAGAUUGGAAAAUGCACCAAAAACAAAGACCACAAAAACACCAACAAGCAAGUUAGCAGCUACUUCCCUCUGCAAAAGAGAGAAACACACACAAAAAAAAACAUCUGGAUAGCUAGAUGACAUGAGGAAGAACCGCAACGGUGCCCCCUUUGCCACCCACCGACCAGCAUCAUAGGAUGGGAUGCAUCUCCCACUCGAAGAAGGAGCACGGGCUAGCAGGGCAUUUUUAAGGAACCAUUUUCAAGAGAAGACCUUCGCCCUCUCGACCACUAGCUCGACUAAGGAUCUGCAAAGAGAAGACAACCACCUUGGAAGGAACCCACGACCUCCACAACCUAGCUAGAGUCUAAACAAUCCCCUAGAUGGGGUCCACCUCUGCCCUCGCGUCCCGCAUCAGAGACUUCACAAGCAUAUUUGAGAGUACUGAUAACCAGAAUUAAGCCUCCACCGCCAAGAAACAAUACAUAGAUUUAUAAGCUGCUCAAGUUUCCAAGAUCAAAUAAGACAUAUACUGUAAAUAUUUUUGUUGAUUGAUAAGGUAGCAUUUGACUUGAAAAAUGUAAUGUUAAUUGACAAGUAGUUGCAGUUUGUUAAUUUGUACUGUUCUACUU